This 485-nucleotide ribosomal RNA is filed under the name uncultured bacterium. RNAcentral describes it as "partial 16S ribosomal RNA". It matches the Rfam family "Bacterial small subunit ribosomal RNA", at positions 28 to 507 of the family's 1533-position model. The record is from RNAcentral.
GAUGAACGCUAGCGACAGGCUUAACACAUGCAAGUCGAGGGGCAGCACAGGUAGCAAUACCGGGUGGCGACCGGCGCACGGGUGAGUAACGCGUAUGCAACUUACCUAUCAGAGGGGGAUAACCCGGCGAAAGUCGGACUAAUACCGCAUGAAGCAGGGGUCCCGCAUGGGGAUAUUUGCUAAAGAUUCAUCGCUGAUAGAUAGGCAUGCGUUCCAUUAGGCAGUCGGCGGGGUAACGGCCCACCAAACCGACGAUGGAUAGGGGUUCUGAGAGGAAGGUCCCCCACAUUGGUACUGAGACACGGACCAAACUCCUACGGGAGGCAGCAGUGAGGAAUAUUGGUCAAUGGCCGAGAGGCUGAACCAGCCAAGUCGCGUGAGGGAUGAAGGUUCUAUGGAUCGUAAACCUCUUUUAUAAGGGAAUAAAGUGCGGGACGUGUCCCGUUUUGUAUGUACCUUAUGAAUAAGGAUCGGCUAACUCCGUG